This 71-nucleotide transfer RNA is filed under the name Pseudohemiculter hainanensis. RNAcentral's name for it is "tRNA-Gln". It matches the Rfam family "tRNA". From Rfam's summary of the family: Transfer RNA (tRNA) molecules are approximately 80 nucleotides in length. The record is from RNAcentral. Lineage: Eukaryota; Metazoa; Chordata; Actinopteri; Cypriniformes; Xenocyprididae.
UAGGAAGUGGUGUAAAGGCAGCACUAAGAGUUUUGAUCUCUUGGGUAUGGGUUCGACCCCCUUCUUCCUAA